RNAcentral lists this unclassified non-coding RNA (282 nucleotides) under Cytospora pruinosa. RNAcentral describes it as "sequence contains 5.8S rRNA gene, ITS2, 28S rRNA gene". The stretch from base 1 to 108 matches the Rfam family "5.8S ribosomal RNA", at positions 47 to 154 of the family's 154-position model. Lineage: Eukaryota; Fungi; Ascomycota; Sordariomycetes; Diaporthales; Cytosporaceae. The record is from RNAcentral.
AGCGAAAUGCGAUAAGUAAUGUGAAUUGCAGAAUUCAGUGAAUCAUCGAAUCUUUGAACGCACAUUGCGCCCUCUGGUAUUCCAGAGGGCAUGCCUGUUCGAGCGUCAUUUCAACCCUCAAGCCUAGCUUGGUGUUGGGGCAUUACCCGGCCGCCUUCUGGCGGGAGGGUAAGCCCUGAAAUUUAGUGGCGAGCUCGCCAGGACUCCGAGCGCAGUAGUGUAAACCUCGCUCUGGAUCGUACUGGCGCGGCCCUGCCGUAAAACCCCCAACUUCUGAAAAUU